CCGAUUGGCUGCUCGCCCUGCCCGUCGCGGCCGCCGCCCUCUACGCGGACCGCCGGCCGCAGCUUCUUCUCGAGACGAGGCGCGGCGACCGUUAGUUUGCUGUGAGAUGUAUUUCAUCAGAGGAGACAGCAGACUCUCACUGAAAGAAGAAGCUAAUUCAGCAACUGUUUGCUGAGGAAUUCUAACAGCUAUGUUGCUAUGGGCUUGUGGAUUACAGUUUUGGAAAAAUUUGUUAGGGUAUUCAAACAACAUGUAUUUGAAGCAGGAUUUGGAAUAGAUAUUCAGCUCCCUGAUGAGAUCAGAAUUGUUCCUGAGUUGCACUGCUUGCUUAUUUGGAAUUUUUUAUACCUGUGCUCUUCAAGUUACAUCUGCUUUGCACAAGAGAACAUCAGUAUGCACAUCAGCAAGGAGUUGGAUCAUAUAUUUUGCCUUUUUUUCAGUUCACAUUUCAAAUAACCAUCAGAACUUGGAUAUAAGAUUGAAGUGGCUUCUUCAACGUAGUUUCUGAGAAGCAACAUGUUGAGAUCUGUAAGGCCUCUGAAUAAUUUCUGAUGUUUUUUUACACCCUCUCCGUGAUGUUGUCAUUCUUUGAUAAAGAAUAAUUGCUGAACUCUAAUUGGCCUUUCAGUAUUGGCCUAGUUAACGCUGUAAGCUUAUAUUUUUUGCUGUGAUGUAGAUUUGUUUUUGGAUCAUUUUGGAAGGUUUUUACCAUAGUGGUAUCUAAUCACAAUUAAAAAAGAAAAUGUGCUGUGGGCCUUGUGAAAUGAAAUAAAGGAGCAUAUGAAAAUUAAAUCACAGUCUGUAACUUUUCUGUGGCCUAUCAUUCCUCAAGCCUGCUGUCUUUUGGAGUAAGUGGCUUUGUUUCCCUAUUCCUUUUGACUGCAUUAAAAUUAGCUGUUUUAAUGACCCACUAGUACAACAUAUUCCAGUUCUGCAAGUAGUACCAGGUCUUUAUAAAAGGAAAAAAAAACAAUAGAGAAAUUAUUCAUUACUUGAUCAAGUACAUGAGAAGCAAUUCCUCUCAAGGUUAGCAUCCUAUGCUGUUGCUGAUACCAAUCUAUUCCCCUUUGCUGUGAGAGAUUAUAGCAGUUCCUCAUUCUAAAGAUAGUUCACUGUGUGUUGACUGUGAUAUAAGCUAAUAAUUAAAAAUAAAUUAAAAUUAGGAGCCAUUAAUAUAUUGAUAUUAAUCUAAUAACUCUUACUAUAAUAAAGCUUAUAUUGCUUUGCUUUGGUAUUGUAAUCUUGACUAUCUGAUACGCUCACUGGAAGUUGCUCCAAAUGAAAACAACUAAGCUGAGUUUCCUAUGAUUUUGCUAUGCAAAUGAAGCGAGAGUGUCUACUUAGGACAUGACAUCCAUAUCUUCACUCUUCUUAAAGCCAACUUCUCAUCAAAAUUAUUAUGUCUAAGACAUAAGCAAAAGUAAAAGUUCAAGAAGGAGAAUAUCUUUCUUCUUCAUCACAGUCAGGGACUGUUUAGAAAAAGUCAAACUAUCAUCAUCAUCAUGACCCAGAGUUUAAAAAUGCCUGAGAGGCAUCUGAAAUAAAUGUGCGCUUCCUCUGAAACAUGAUGGCUCUUUUAGUGUUUUCUGUCAGCUUCUUGAGACCGUGUGUAAGUGGGCAUUGUUCCCCUUGGGAAGGCACAAUUAAACCUUAAUACGCUGUCACAACAAGCCAUUCUGUACAAGGGGGAACUAGUAAUGAGUUUCACAAUAGCAUGCAGUUAACAAGUGGACCAGUCCUUUAGGAAAGAACUAGCAUCUUGUUCUAAAUCAAGGCUGUGGUAUACAAAUGAGAGUUAGGGAGUCAACAACUGUCAAAGCUAUGGAGCUAUGGAUUCAUUAUAGCAACUGAUUCUAUUUCUAUAUUGCAGAAUGCAAUCCCGUAUAUAGACACUCAAACUAGCUGUAAAUGACAUCAUUUUCAGAAGCUUUUCUAUGGAGGAAAAGCAAAAAAAAGAACUAGCCCACAGACCAGGAACAGUUCUGCUGUGACAGCUCACAAGUCCAUAUUUACUCAUUUUCUUUAUUAGAAGGUAUGCAAUAGCUGAUGUAGAAUUCUGUGUUGUGGCUAUGCCUGACACUCCAUUGCCUAACAUAAUUUGCUUAAGGUGCUAUCAUAUCCUACUUUAACGUCAAUUUAACCGAGAUUUAAUUUGUGUUAGCCGGUAUAAGACACUAGCUGUACAUAUCUGUUUUCUAACACACAUUCUCUGGAGACGUUUAUUACAGUAGUACAACGUAAUAAAAAAUAUGUCCUUGGUGAAGCAUGUAAUUUAGAGGAGGAAAUAAAGCAGUCUAAGUGAUCUCAUACAAGAUUUUACACUCAAGUGGAAAUAGCAUAUGGUUGUUGUAAGGAUUAACAGAAGAUUGCUUAUAGAAACAGCUUCAGCUGAGUUACUUCCAAUUAUUAAAAAUAUAUGUAGUCAUAGGACUACAUCUAGUGAAACUGCAUUGGUGAGAACUCAGUGAACAAACUAAGUUUCAUAUGUGUUUGAUCUAGAGCAGUCUUUGGCAUUGUAUUUUAUACUGGGUAGAUAUUGUUUGAGAAGUAAAGUUCUUUUUACCGUUUUCAGACUCAUUAAAGAAAUAGAGCACUUGCCUGAGGAGUUUGUUUCUAUUGAGCUAAUGAGUUCAUUUAAUGAGUUACUAACGUAAUAAGGAACUGUAUUUUGGGUAUAGAUACUACUGAGUUACUUAUUCAUUGCAAAACUUCUAAAUCAAAUUUUCAUAUAAAACCAAACUAAUAUUUUUCAAGUUUCUUUUAUCUUUGCAUCAUUUUAUUAAUACACGCGAUGGGUUUGAUUUACCAGUGUUUCAGAAUUGCUAUAUCUUUUACUCGCACUUGAGUCAAGUUAACUCAAGGUCAAUAAAAAUAAAGAGAUUUGACAGAAGUGAAUUCUCCUGCUAUUGUGUAAUAUGUACGCGUAAAAAUAAACAUAAAGUAAUAAUUAGCUAUUGUCCUCCCAUAAUAUUUAUGUACCUUCUUGGACACUUUUAGAUGAAGCAUUAGUUUUUAAACUACCAACAUCAAUCUACGAAAGCAGAUUUCUGACAUAUUUUUCAAUAAAUUCAAAUGGUUUUAUGAAUUAUAAAAAUAAACAUUGUAAUUGUAGUGUGUGUAGGUAAUGAGCUGAAAAAAUUAUUUUUAAGACUGAAGAUUAUGAUCCCGUUCAAAUAUGAAACAGUGUGUCAUAUGAAGGCAAAAGACUGAAUACUGACUCAAAUCCCAAUUAUAAUUUAUUAUAAUUUGAACUACAGGUGUGGUGUUUUGUUAUAACCAGGAUAUCAAAAAGCAGUAUGUAGACUAUAGUCUAUCCACUGAGAAUGUACAGAGUAACUCCCAGUUAUAGGAAAACUGCAAGGGGAAGAACAAUGUCUGUCCAAAGUGUGAAAUA
Molecule: long non-coding RNA, 3394 nt
Organism: Numida meleagris (helmeted guineafowl)
Lineage: Eukaryota; Metazoa; Chordata; Aves; Galliformes; Numididae
Exons: 5
Source: RefSeq, a predicted model, not a curated record